Long non-coding RNA from Canis lupus familiaris (dog), 751 nucleotides. RefSeq lists it as uncharacterized. The record is from RefSeq and is a predicted model, not a curated record. NCBI's taxonomy places the organism in Eukaryota, Metazoa, Chordata, Mammalia, Carnivora, Canidae. The transcript has 3 exons.
AGCAAAUAAACUGUAGAUAAUGAAAGUUGGGCUUCCAAUCAUUAGAGAAAGAAAUUAUACACAAGGAAAAAGGAGACACUAAAGUGAUCCCUGUGGUGUUGGACUAGAAUCACAGGCAGUGACCGGGCCAUGUAUUAAAUGUCACUGGAGUGCUGGCUUCUGACCAGCAAGUGCUUACCUGAAGGAGAUAGAGGAGUCCUGGAACAAACAAGCCUAAUGAAGAUUUCACAGGGAUGGAAUAUUUUAAUUAGCCACUGAAAGGCAGACUUCCCCUUGACCAAAAGCUCCAACUUUGAAGUGAAACACGAACUGCUCCACUAAAAUAACAUCAAUCCUGCCCUUAGACCUGUUUGCUGCCCAACUCCACAAAAAGGACAUCACAAUACAAUGGCUUGGGCCUUGUCCUGGCCUGUAGCUCUUGAUGUGUCCCAGGCAACCCUGGACUGCCACAAAGGAGGCCAAGGGAGAGCAAACAGGAGAAGGGGACAGAGCCAAUGAGGCCACCCUGUUCUGCAGGACACUAGCUCCAUGGAAGUCUGGGGAGAGAGUUGCCAAGUUUACUUUCACUGUCCCUAUCUUCUUAUCAAUCAAGUAAAUUUGUUUUUAAUUAUGUAUUCACUGAGAAAAUUUGGGAAAAAAUAGAUAUAAAAAGAAACAGAAACAUGAGCUUACUCUAAAAACACAAGUAUUAUGCUUUUGGAAUCUAUUUUCUAUUUUUUGUUGUUUUAACAUAGCUGAGAUUAUAUUUUAU